This 301-nucleotide ribosomal RNA is filed under the name uncultured bacterium. RNAcentral's name for it is "partial 16S ribosomal RNA". It matches the Rfam family "Bacterial small subunit ribosomal RNA", at positions 509 to 809 of the family's 1533-position model. The record is from RNAcentral.
CAGUCGCCGCGGUAAUACGUAGGGUGCAAGCGUUAAUCGGAAUUACUGGGCGUAAAGCGUGCGCAGGCGGUUUUGUAAGACAGAGGUGAAAUCCCCGGGCUCAACCUGGGAACUGCCUUUGUGACUGCAAGGCUAGAGUACGGCAGAGGGGGAUGGAAUUCCGCGUGUAGCAGUGAAAUGCGUAGAUAUGCGGAGGAACACCGAUGGCGAAGGCAAUCCCCUGGGCCUGUACUGACGCUCAUGCACGAAAGCGUGGGGAGCAAACAGGAUUAGAUACCCCCGUAGUCCCUGUCUCUUAUAA